This 327-nucleotide non-coding RNA is filed under the name Cyclospora cayetanensis. RNAcentral describes it as "Eukaryotic large subunit ribosomal RNA". It matches the Rfam family "Eukaryotic large subunit ribosomal RNA", at positions 675 to 954 of the family's 3401-position model. The record is from Rfam by way of RNAcentral. Lineage: Eukaryota; Apicomplexa; Conoidasida; Eucoccidiorida; Eimeriidae.
CUUACAGAAGUGCGCAAGUGUGUGAAUGUCAGCUGUGUGAAUGGGUGGGAAGGGAAAGGGGGGAACCCCACACUGCGCAAGGAAGGUGAGCGUAGGGGGGGUUCGCCUGCACUGCUCGUUCCGCGUAUCUACAGCCGCCGACGAGCUUUAUGAGAGAGGUUUGAGUUGUGGCACGUCCGUAAGGACCUGAUAAAGACUAAGGAAGUAGGUCUGAGUUGGGGGAAGUCAGACCAAAAGCCUGAUGGAGGAUCGCAGCGACACUGACGUGCAAUCGUCCGCCAAACUGGGGUUAGGAGCGAAGGCCGAACGGCAUCGUCUAGUAGCUAG